UACAGAGGGUGCAAACGUUUGCUCGGAAUUAUUGGGCGUAAAGCGCACGUAGGCGGCAUUGCAAGUCCCAUGUGAAAGCCCACGGCUUAACCGUGGAAGUGCAUGGGAAACUGCAGUGCUUGAGUACUUAAGAGGAUCGCGGAAUUCCCGGUGUAGAGGUGAAAUUCGUAGAUAUCGGGGAGGAACACCGGUGGCGAAGGCGGCCUGCUGGGCAGUGGCUGACGCUGAGGCGCGCAGCGUGGGGGAGCAAACAG
RNAcentral lists this ribosomal RNA (254 nucleotides) under uncultured bacterium. RNAcentral describes it as "partial 16S ribosomal RNA". It matches the Rfam family "Bacterial small subunit ribosomal RNA", at positions 524 to 775 of the family's 1533-position model. The record is from RNAcentral.